UAUUGAUCUCACACAGUGAUAGUGAAUGACUUCAAGUACCUCACUCUCACUAAUAGACAGGACAUCCUGACAAAAACCAAGCAGAGAUAUGCUGCAGCUAAGUGGCCUUAUAAACCAGAUAUACCCAACCACCAAAGAGAAUUUGUGAAUUUCUCAGCACCCCAUGGAACUUUCUCUGAAAUUGAGCACAUACUUGGAACAAAGCAAGUCUCAAGAGAUGUAAGAAAAUUGUAAUAACACCCUGCAUCCUAUCUGACCACCAGGGAUUAAAGCUGGAUAUUAGCAACAAUGGAAAGCUUACAAGCUCAUAGAAAGUGAAAAUUCAAUUUAUGGGUCAAGAUGGAAACUAAUAAACAAAUUUAAGACGUUCUGAAAUUGAAAGAAAAUGAGUACACAAUACACCCAAUCUUAUGGAGCACAUGAAGGGGGUUCUAAGAGGCAAGAUCAUAGCACUAAAUGCCUACAAAAAAAUGGAGAUAUCAAAUACUAGUAACUUAACUGUACACCUGAAAACAAAAAAAGAAAUCAUACCCAGAAGAAAUAGACAGCAAGAAAUAAUCAAAUUCAGGGCUGAAAUGAGUAAAACAGAAACAUACAAACAACAACAACAACAACAACAACAACAAUAAAACACAAAUUAUCUAUAAAACAAAGAGCUGAUUCUUUGCGAAAAUCAAUAAGAUUGACAAACUCUUAUCCAAAUUAAUUAAAGGGAGAGAUAAGUUCCAAGUUAAU
RNAcentral lists this long non-coding RNA (735 nucleotides) under Rattus norvegicus (Norway rat). RNAcentral's name for it is "long non-coding RNA NONRATT018283". The record is from RNAcentral. Lineage: Eukaryota; Metazoa; Chordata; Mammalia; Rodentia; Muridae.